AGCCAUGUGAUGAACACAGAGCGAACUAUUCUUUCGCCUUUUACUAAAGAAUACCGUGUGUUCGUUACAAUCAAUGGCAUACUCCUAUUUUUGAAGGGUGUUUAACAUUAAACACCC
Molecule: small nuclear RNA, 117 nt
Organism: Ipomoea nil (Japanese morning glory)
Lineage: Eukaryota; Viridiplantae; Streptophyta; Magnoliopsida; Solanales; Convolvulaceae
Rfam family: U5 spliceosomal RNA
About the family: U5 RNA is a component of both types of known spliceosome. The precise function of this molecule is unknown, though it is known that the 5' loop is required for splice site selection and p220 binding, and that both the 3' stem-loop and the Sm site are important for Sm protein binding and cap methylation.
Source: Rfam